Molecule: long non-coding RNA, 1114 nt
Organism: Sander lucioperca (pikeperch)
Lineage: Eukaryota; Metazoa; Chordata; Actinopteri; Perciformes; Percidae
Exons: 7
Source: RefSeq, a predicted model, not a curated record
CUUCGCCCGGAAGUGAGGUGCAGUUUUAAAUUCAGGGUUAACGCAACUGUUUGUUUAGAAAUAUAUGACUCAGAAAAGGCCAUAAAUGUGUAGCUACUGUCAGGGAGGAACCCGGGGGACGUUUAAACAGUUUCAGACUGUACGAGUGAAUUCAGAAACAUUUGGAGAAUGCCUGGUCCUGUCUGACGAUCUGGAUGUUGGAGUUAUCAGUCAACUUUGAAGCAGGUGUACUGGAUUUUGGCUUGCUGUUGGAAAGCUAAAUGAGCUAAAGCUAACUAGGCCUACUUGCCAAUGAGCUGAACUAGCUUCAGCUGGAGUCUACACGCGGGAGUGCUACAAUCUACUUAAGACGCUGUUGUUAUAGCGAGGAGAGAGUACGGUGGAUUCUCCCAAGGAUUGCUCUUCUGAGAGGCUGCAGUUUAUUACAAAUGGGAAAGCUUUCAUUGCAGAUUGCCCCAGCGCUGCGUAGAGGUCCACCACCUGCCCUGGCCUGCACUGCUUUUCCCCCAGCCAAGGAAGCUCAUGCCUGGGCACUCUGGGCAGCGGCCCAGCCUUUCACAUCCAGGUCCAGGGCCAAGAGACAGGGGCCAACAGCUGGCGGUAUGCAGAAGGAGCCUGGAGGCUUCCACAGCAGAUGAAUCACCACGGAUUAAUAUUUAACUCCAGACUCCUGCUCCCCUCUAGCGUCUCUCCUCCCCCCGCUCUCUUCUUACCACCUUCCUUCUCCCUGUAUCCAUCACACCAUCCCCCAGUCCUGCAGCCUUUCAGCAGGUUCCUCUCGCCCAUUCUUCCACUACUGCAUCAUCAUCAUCAUCGUCCAGCAUGAUGCCCGAAACCACUGAGUUUCAGCAGCAAGAGGUGUAGUUUGAGUUGUCACGACAACCUGCGCGCCUGGCUCAUGGCUGCCUUCCAAGCGCAGACAAAGCUGUCGUCGAAUGAACCAGGCGUGUGUCCACCGGACCUGAGGGGUGCCGCCGCCGCUAACAAAACACACAAAGACCCUCGCCCCUGGCACUGGCCGUCACCCCGUCUACCCGCUAUCCUGCCCCUCCCACACUCGACUGCCUGCUGCUUUGUGCCUGCUCCAAGAAGAGGAAGUUCCUCUCAUCUCCUU